CCAGAAAUAGGCGGCGGCGUUGUUGCUGCCGUCGGCGUUAGUGACGAGUCCGAGUAGCGCGGCGAACGGUCCUUGCGGCCCUGCCUGAAGCAUCGCCAUCACCGGCACGAUGCAGAUGAAGAUGCCGGCGAACAGGAUGGCGACUUCCUGAAUCGGCCCCCAUGAAAAUCCGUUGGCCUCGCGAUCUGAUUUCUGCGUCCACGUCAUGGAUGCGAUCGCGACCACGACGAAGAUCGCAUCGCGCAACAGGUCCUGAAUUUCGAGAUCGACGCCGGUGAUAUGGAAGGAGAUUCCGGGCUUCCACUGCGCGCUCAUCAGGAUGGCGGCGAUGAUGACCGCGAUCAGCACGAGGUUGAUCUUGCCGUGCAGUUUGAGCGGUUUGUCCGGCGUCGGGUCUUUCAGUUUGGUGAAGCGGCCCUCCCGGUGAUGCAUGUAAAGAUCGAUCACCAUGAA
This 453-nucleotide unclassified non-coding RNA is filed under the name Hevea brasiliensis (rubber tree). Lineage: Eukaryota; Viridiplantae; Streptophyta; Magnoliopsida; Malpighiales; Euphorbiaceae. The record is from RNAcentral.